Molecule: long non-coding RNA, 1822 nt
Organism: Mytilus californianus (California mussel)
Lineage: Eukaryota; Metazoa; Mollusca; Bivalvia; Mytilida; Mytilidae
Exons: 2
Source: RefSeq, a predicted model, not a curated record
UUAGUCAGACCAUCACUAGAAUAUGCCUGUUCAGUAUGGGAUCCUUACUUUACUGAGGAUAUAAACAAACUAGAAAAGGUGCAAAAAAGGGCUGCUAGGUUUGUCACUAACCGACACAGAAACACAUCACGCGUUAGUGACAUGAUAGAUCACUUAAAAUGGAGAGACCUCGCACACAGAAGAACAGAUGCACGCCUUGUCAUGUUUUACAAAAUCACAUACCAUCUCAUCGCAAUCACAAAAACAAACAGACUAAUACAACCGCUCAGACAGUCCUGGAUCAUGCACGCACUCUCAUUCCAAAUUCCAUCCUGCAGAACACAAAUAAUUUUUUUGCCAACAAUCUUUUUUUCCAUGAACAAUUAAAAACUAUAGAGUCGUUCAAAACAGCCAUCUCAACCUACACAUACAGUCAGUAAAUUCAUCAUGUGUAAAUAGUUUUAUCAUAAUAUUAAAAAUAAAUAAAAUAAAAAUAUGCACUACCACUAUCUAAAAAUGUUAUUAUCAAUUUUUGUUUAUAAUUAUAAAAAAUGUUAAAUUUUUCACUGUAUAUAAGUCUCCACAAAGCAAUGUGCAGUACAAGUGACAUAAACUUCAACGUGUUAAAGGCGGUCACUACAAAGUAGAAGUAGAAGUAGAAGCAUGACUAAAAACAGUGUGGAAAACUGAUUAAAUGAGUGAAUUUUUCAAGUCCAAGGACCAUAACUCUGCACAAAAUUAUCAGACCGAUACAGAAUUUCGAACUUGAUCUGUAUAACUUGUCAUGAUAAAACUAUAUACCAAUUAUCAAUCAAUAUCUUCAAGCAUGAUGAAAAAAAGUGUGGAAAACACUUUAACAUUAGAUAUGAUUAAUAGUUCUCUAAAAUUAGAUAUGAUGUAAUACAGUGUAUAUCUAUUUUCAAAUUAUAAUCAAAUAUAAUUAAUAGUUCCAAAUAUUUUUUCUUUUAUUUGUCACAAACUAAUAUAGAUUUGUAUGUUAUCUAUAAAAUGUCAACAAUUUUUACCUACACAAUGUAAUGUAAUAUAUACAUUAAUAAAAAUAGAUUAUUAUCUAAUUAAAGGAUUUCACUUCAUAAUUUUUUAUAUAUAUAUAUAGCAUUCAGAAAAUUAGUUUAUACAAAAUAACAAACAAACCUGCCAAAAAAUUCUUCAAAUAAUUUACCAAAGAAUGUCUUUUAAAAAAUGAGUUAUCUCCCUUUGUACAGAAAUAUGGUUUAACAUAGUACUCAAACAUUAGAUAUGAUCCAGAGUUAUGGUCCAUAACUCUGGACUAAAUCAUCAGACCAGAACAAAAUUCGAACUUGAUCUAUAACUUGUCAUGGCAAAACUAUAUACCAAAUAUCAAAUCAAUUUCUUCAAGAACGAAGAAAAAAGUGUGGAAUACUGAUUUGCCGGACUGACGGAUGGACAGACGGACAGAGUGCAAACCUAAAGUCCCCUUCGACUUCGUCGGUAGGGGACUUAUAAAGGCAAAAUCCAGACAACAUUGAUAUCCAUAACUUAAAUCCUAUAAAAAUAAACAGCUGCGCCUAGUCGUCUUGUGUUUGUGAAUUUUUAUGCAAUAAUCAUAAAUAGUUUCUGACAUACGGCCUGACAUGCGGAAACCCCCUUUUUUUACAAAAAACUCAAUAUCUCUAAAACAAAAUUUUGAAUCAAAACCAAAAAAAAUAGAGAUCUUUAGAUGAAUAUAACUAAGAAGUGUGUAAAAUUUUAAGCAAUAAUCAUAAAUCGUUUUUGAGAUACGGCGCGACAUGUGAAAACCCCCCUUUUAAAAAAAAAAAAUCAAUAUCUCAAAAAUAAAAUUUUGAAUCAAAACCAAAAA